This is an RNA transcript of Zea mays, 855 nucleotides long. RefSeq lists it as uncharacterized. The transcript is spliced from 3 exons. The record is from RefSeq and is marked validated. NCBI's taxonomy places the organism in Eukaryota, Viridiplantae, Streptophyta, Magnoliopsida, Poales, Poaceae.
GCGAUGCAAGCCGCUUGUUCGACGAAAUGUGUGAGAAGCAAAAUGAACAUGCCCGCGUGUUAGGUCCUUUAUGUGACCCAAAUAACUGAAUUUCAGCUAAGCACCAGAGCUAAUAUCUCUAAUCAGCUUCCAUGGGUGAGGCAAUUAACACUUACUCCAAUUUGUUCUUCCUUCACGGUGCUACUUAAUUCAACACGUUCUUCGUUGCAAUGAUUACAGUUACACUUGGUUUAUCACCAUUGCUUUCAGCUUGACAAAGCCUUAUCUUUGCUACAUACUUAAUUAAUGCUUCAAAGCACUGACAAUUCCAAAUGACAGGUACAAGCUUAGUUUCAUUGUCACUGAUGGAACAUGUGAAGCAGAGUUCUUUUGUUUUGAUAGCAUAGCCAGAAAAAUAGUAGGAAAACCUUGUAACAACCUUGUUACAGCAGUUACAACUUCUCAAGGUCCCCUAGCAGACCUAGCCGAUGUUAUGUGACUGAAAUUUACCCUUGCAGUUGCCAUCAAUAUGCCAGCCUACUCUAUCACAAACAGUCUUCUCUAUUCUGUCUAUUUUGACAAAUCAUGUAAGACAUGCCUUCAUGCCAUCUAACAUGUCUAACCAUCCUGAAGAGUUGUAUACACAAGAUGAAGUACCUAGCCUUCCGGUCACACAAAACUCUCCAACAACAUCUUUGGCGAAACUAUCUACCUGUAGCAACGAAAGAAACGAGGGUGAUGACCAACGUACAAGUGAACUCAACAAGCAAGAUUUAUCAUCACCACCGAAAAGGUAUUUGCUUUUUGUGCACCUAUCAGGAUCACCAUCACUUUUGGACCAUGAAUGCUUCAGCUUUUAGCCUAUUUGUGGAUCUA